RNAcentral lists this ribosomal RNA (451 nucleotides) under uncultured bacterium. Its description in RNAcentral is "bacterial SSU rRNA". It matches the Rfam family "Bacterial small subunit ribosomal RNA", at positions 354 to 796 of the family's 1533-position model. The record is from RNAcentral.
GUGGGGAAUAUUGGACAAUGGGGGGAACCCUGAUCCAGCCAUGCCGCGUGUGUGAAGAAGGCCUUUUGGUUGUAAAGCACUUUAAGCGAGGAGGAGGCUACCGAGAUUAAUACUCUUGGAUAGUGGACGUUACUCGCAGAAUAAGCACCGGCUAACUCUGUGCCAGCAGCCGCGGUAAUACAGAGGGUGCAAGCGUUAAUCGGAUUUACUGGGCGUAAAGCGCGCGUAGGUGGCCAAUUAAGUCAAAUGUGAUAUCCCCGAGCUUAACUUGGGAAUUGCAUUCGAUACUGGUUGGCUAGAGUAUGGGAGAGGAUGGUAGAAUUCCAGGUGUAGCGGUGAAAUGCGUAGAGAUCUGGAGGAAUACCGAUGGCGAAGGCAGCCAUCUGGCCUAAUACUGACACUGAGGUGCGAAAGCAUGGGGAGCAAACAGGAUUAGAAACCCUUGUAGUCC